RNAcentral lists this ribosomal RNA (253 nucleotides) under uncultured bacterium. RNAcentral describes it as "partial 16S ribosomal RNA". It matches the Rfam family "Bacterial small subunit ribosomal RNA", at positions 524 to 776 of the family's 1533-position model. The record is from RNAcentral.
UACGUAGGGGGCAAGCGUUGUCCGGAUUCAUUGGGCGUAAAGAGCGUGUAGGCGGCCAGGUAGGUCGGUUGUGAAAACUGGAGGCUCAACCUUCAGACGUCGACCGAAACCAUCUGGCUAGAGUCCGGGAGAGGAGAGUGGAAUUCCCGGUGUAGUGGUGGAAUGCGUAGAUAUCGGGAGGAACACCAGUGGCGAAGGCGGUUGCCUGGAGCUUUGCUGACGCUGAGGCGCGAAAGCGUGGGGAGCGAUCCGG